RNAcentral lists this ribosomal RNA (751 nucleotides) under Salinimicrobium gaetbulicola. Its description in RNAcentral is "bacterial SSU rRNA". It matches the Rfam family "Bacterial small subunit ribosomal RNA", at positions 89 to 838 of the family's 1533-position model. Lineage: Bacteria; Pseudomonadati; Bacteroidota; Flavobacteriia; Flavobacteriales; Flavobacteriaceae. The record is from RNAcentral.
UGACGACCGGCGCACGGGUGCGUAACGCGUAUACAAUCUACCUUUUACAGGGGCAUAGCCCGGGGAAACCCGGAUUAAUAUCCCAUGGUAUCAUUUAGUGGCAUCACUUGAAUGAUUAAAGCUUCGGCGGUAAAAGAUGAGUAUGCGUUCUAUUAGCUAGAUGGUAAGGUAACGGCUUACCAUGGCUACGAUAGAUAGGGGUCCUGAGAGGGAGAUCCCCCACACUGGUACUGAGACACGGACCAGACUCCUACGGGAGGCAGCAGUGAGGAAUAUUGGACAAUGGGCGAGAGCCUGAUCCAGCCAUGCCGCGUGCAGGAAGACUGCCCUAUGGGUUGUAAACUGCUUUUAUACGGGAAGAAACACUCCUUCGUGAAGGAGCUUGACGGUACCGUACGAAUAAGGAUCGGCUAACUCCGUGCCAGCAGCCGCGGUAAUACGGAGGAUCCAAGCGUUAUCCGGAAUCAUUGGGUUUAAAGGGUCCGUAGGCGGGAUAAUAAGUCAGUGGUGAAAGUCUGCAGCUCAACUGUAGAACUGCCAUUGAAACUGUUGUCCUUGAGUAAUUAUGAAGUGGUUAGAAUAUGUAGUGUAGCGGUGAAAUGCAUAGAUAUUACAUAGAAUACCGAUUGCGAAGGCAGAUCACUAAUAAUUUACUGACGCUGAUGGACGAAAGCGUAGGUAGCGAACAGGAUUAGAUACCCUGGUAGUCUACGCCGUAAACGAUGGUUACUAGCUGUUUGGCUCGAUUGAG